GCCGGGUUUGGUGGUGCAUGCCUGUAAUCCCAGCUACUUGGGAGGCUGAGGCAGGAGAAUCGCUUGAGCUUGGGAGGCGGUGCUUGCAGUGAGCCGAGAUCACGCCACUGCACUCCAGCCUGGGCGACAAAGCGAGACUCUGUCUCAA
Molecule: non-coding RNA, 148 nt
Filed under: Pan troglodytes (chimpanzee)
Lineage: Eukaryota; Metazoa; Chordata; Mammalia; Primates; Hominidae
Source: Rfam by way of RNAcentral